UGACCUUCCUAGGAGUGGGGAAUAACCUGCCGAAAGGCGGGCUAAGACCGCAUACGACCUUUGGGCUACGGCCCGGGGGUGAAAGCAGGCCUCUGUACACAAGCUUGCGCUCCUGGAUGGGCCCGCGGCCCAUCAGCUAGUUGGUGCGGUAACGGCGCACCAAGGCGACGACGGGUAGCUGGUCUGAGAGGAUGGCCAGCCACACUGGAACUGAGACACGGUCCAG
RNAcentral lists this ribosomal RNA (226 nucleotides) under uncultured bacterium. RNAcentral's name for it is "partial 16S ribosomal RNA". It matches the Rfam family "Bacterial small subunit ribosomal RNA", at positions 122 to 334 of the family's 1533-position model. The record is from RNAcentral.